AUAGCAAUAGCUAAUUGCACCAAGACAUAUUUGAUGCAAUAUCGACUUAGACGAAUAAAAUUCUAGGUAGUGUUAUGAUAAUGACAUUUUCUGCCUAUUAGUCUUGACCAAAUUACGUGCCAGCAGUCGCGGUAAUACGUAGAAGACUAGUGUUAUUCAUCUUUAAUAGGUCCAAAGGGUACCUAGACGGUAAAUCAAGCCUUAAACGGGACUAAUUUACUAGAGUUACUUAUGAGGGGGCACUAAAGUACUGAUGGUGGAGAGAUGAAAUUCUUAGAUACCUUUUUUCGAAAGAAAAACAAUGGCACAGGUAUAGGCGAAAGCAUCCCCUUAUGUGAUAACUGACGUUGAGGGACGAAGGCUUUGAGUAGCGAACAGGAUUAGAUACCCUGAUAGUUGAAGCAGUAAAUGAUGAA
This 416-nucleotide ribosomal RNA is filed under the name Lecanora barkmaniana. RNAcentral describes it as "SSU rRNA". It matches the Rfam family "Bacterial small subunit ribosomal RNA", at positions 372 to 813 of the family's 1533-position model. The record is from RNAcentral. Lineage: Eukaryota; Fungi; Ascomycota; Lecanoromycetes; Lecanorales; Lecanoraceae.